RNAcentral lists this non-coding RNA (952 nucleotides) under Eleutherodactylus sp. UPRRP6361. RNAcentral describes it as "12S ribosomal RNA". It matches the Rfam family "Bacterial small subunit ribosomal RNA". Lineage: Eukaryota; Metazoa; Chordata; Amphibia; Anura; Eleutherodactylidae. The record is from RNAcentral.
CACAAAGGCUUGGUCCUGACCUUAAAAUCAACUACCACUUAACAUAUACAUGCAAGUCUCCGCAUCCCUGUGAGAAAGCCCCCUAGACCCUUAUGAGUUUAGGGGUGCAGGUAUCAGGCUCACCUAGCCCAAGACACCUAGCUUUGCCACACCCACAAGGGUACUCAGCAGUAAUUAAUAUUGAAUCAUGAGCAUCAGCUCGAUUCAGUCAAAGUAUUUAGGGCCGGCAAAUCUGGUGCCAGCAGCCGCGGCUAAACCAUUGAGCCCAAGUUGAUUUCCAUCGGCGUAAAGCGUGGUUAAAGUCACCCCUAAACUAGAGCUAAACAAAGAUCUUCACAGUCAAAUAUUUAUCUUUUAAGAAACCCAUAAAACGAAAGUUGCUCUACCCAUCUCUCUUGAACCCACGAAAGCUAGGACAUAAACUGGGAUUUGAUACCCCAUUAUACCUUGCCGUAAACUUUUAUUUACACCCUCCCCCAUCGCCAGGGAACUACGAGCGAAGCUUAAAACCCAAAGGACUUGACGGUGCCCAUAUCCCACUAGAGGAGCCUGUCCUUAAUCGAUGAUCCCCGUUUAACCUCACCACUUCUAGCCCAUCAGCCUGUAUAUUUCCGUCGUAAAUUAACCACAUGAGUGAGACUUAGUUAGUGCAAAGACUUACAAAGAACCCCCCCCGUCAACACGUCAGGUCAAAAUGCAGCUAAUGAAGUGGGAAAAGAUUGGCUACACUUUUUAUUAUAAAAGAAAACGAAAGACAAUAAUGAAACUUUGUCAGAAGGUGGAUUUAGCAGUAAAAAGAGUUCAUUAUACUCAUUUGAAUCUGGCACUGGAGCGUGUACAAACCGCCCGUCACCCUCUUCGACAAACCCAUACUAGUACUUAACAAGCUAUUUAUUACCAGAGAAGAGGUAAGUCGUAACAUGGUAAGUAUACCGGAAGGUGUACUUGGAAA